Molecule: long non-coding RNA, 753 nt
Organism: Fukomys damarensis (Damara mole-rat)
Lineage: Eukaryota; Metazoa; Chordata; Mammalia; Rodentia; Bathyergidae
Exons: 4
Source: RefSeq, a predicted model, not a curated record
GUUGUUAGAAACUGAAGUUGGAUUCUCUCAGAAGUGAAAUCAAGCUUCACUUCUCAGGUCCAUCUAACACAGCGAAAUGAAGAAAGGGAAUAAGAAACUUAAAAAUUCCCUGGGAAUUUUUUCCUGGGAGAUGAAUUCUAGAUGGAUUCUACAUUAUGAGAUGGAGGACUGAAACUUUCAAAGUAUUCUUUUCACUCUACACAGAUUGCUCAAAGGGCUAACUAUCUGAAAACUACUUUUCCUGGAUUCCUUAUCAGCAGAGCGCAAGUUUAUAGAUUCUGCCAGCGACAGAGACCUGACAAAAAUGUCCACUUCAGCAAGGUGGUCUGCAGUGGCUAUGUCGGUCCCUGCAUGUUCUUCCUCCUGACAGCCUCGCAUCUCAGCCAGGGUGAAGGUUCUGUAAGCUAUUUCUUUUUAUUUCAAACAGCUCCCUUCCUGACAGUCUUAGUCUAGUUUCAAGUCCUAACCAGACUUUGACAGGAACACUCUCUUCUGAGUUUACUGUCAGGAAAAAUUAGGAAAUGAGAAAAAAGCUCUUAACAGAUAUGAAGAACUCGCCAAAACGCUCUAGGCCAAGUAUAAAUCAGAGCGCGAUGAAGUACAAUACUCACACGGAGGCUGGAGGCUCUGGACUCAAACACAGAGUCAAACCCAAGGAGGACACUUUGUGUCCCCCCCGCUGCAGGCACCAUAGAGUUGCACAGCAGUCCCCAAGCCUGUUAGCUGAGAACUGGCAAUGCGUAAGAAAUGAAG